This 493-nucleotide ribosomal RNA is filed under the name uncultured bacterium. RNAcentral describes it as "partial 16S ribosomal RNA". It matches the Rfam family "Bacterial small subunit ribosomal RNA", at positions 30 to 523 of the family's 1533-position model. The record is from RNAcentral.
AUUGAACGCUGGCGGCAUGCUUUACACAUGCAAGUCGAACGGUAACAGGUUAAGCUGACGAGUGGCGAACGGGUGAGUAAUGCAUCGGAACGUGCCCGGUCGUGGGGGAUAACACUUCGAAAGAAGUGCUAAUACCGCAUACGAUCUGAGGAUGAAAGCGGGGGACCGUAAGGCCUCGCGCGAUCGGAACGGCCGAUGUCAGGUUAGGUAGGUGGUGGGGUAAAGGCUCACAAAGCCGACGAUCUGUAGCUGGUCUGAGAGGACGACCAGCCAUACUGGGACUGAGACACGGCCCAGACUCAUACGGGAGGCAGCAGUGGGGAAUUUUGGACAAUGGGCGCAAGCCUGAUCCAGCAAUGCCGCGUGCAGGAAGAAGGCCUUCGGGUUGUAAACUGCUUUUGUACGGAGCGAAAAGGCUCUCUCUAAUACAGGGGGCUCAUGACGGUACCGUAAGAAUAAGCACCGGCUAACUACGUGCCAGCCGCCGCCGUAA